This is a long non-coding RNA of Anser cygnoides (Swan goose), 1358 nucleotides long. The record is from Ensembl. Lineage: Eukaryota; Metazoa; Chordata; Aves; Anseriformes; Anatidae.
AUGAUGCGCCCCAAGGAUCAGGCACUAGUGGAAUUAUGUGACCCAGAAAGGCUCCAGGUGUGUCUGAGGCUUCAAAGCCUGCCGAUGCUCUCUCUGGCGCUCAGAGCCCUCACCAUGUUGUCAGAGAGACCUAAGAUGGGAAGAAAAUUGUUCUUCCUGCUGCCGGACGUGAUGAAUACACUGCUGUAUGACAACACACACAUCACUGAGAAGGCCCUGACUGUCUUCGAAAACGUGAUCGGUCAUCUGGAGAAGAGGGAGGCCAGCCCCAUCGCUCUGGCACUGGCUGAGAGACUCCUGCCUCUUUUUAACAACGAGUCCAGUGAGGUGCAAGAGCGCUCCAUUCUUCUCUUCAAAGACUUGAUGGAGUGUGUGGUGUGGUGGAAAAAAGGAGAAAUGAAGAAGACCAUGCGCAGGGCCCUUAUUCCACUGUUGUUCCGGAUGAGUGAUGAGACUGAGAGCGUGGCCAAGGCGUCAGCAGUAGUCCUACUUGCUUGUACAAUGUUCCUGAAGUGGAAACAGCUUGAGCACCUGGCUCAGAACGAAGACAUCACUAGGAUUAGGGAGUACUUGCUCAAGCAGAAGAGCAGCAGGGUGGACGAAUACCUGCAGCAGAGCCUGCCAUACCUGGAGGAUGCUCAGGCCAACUUGCGACAGGAGGCUGUCAAAUUCAUCGGGCUUGCUGUCUACCAUGCUGGCAUCCAGAGUGAGGAGAAGCUGAAUGAGCUCAUCCAAGGUGAGUGCGGGCGGUGCUGGGGGUGCUGCGCCCAGUGGAGAGGGGGCAGAGCCCACGCAGUGUGCAGCCAUGCCUUGCCCUGCUCCAGGGAAAUGCUGCAGUGGCAGAGGGAUGUGGGGGGACAUGUGGGAUGCUCCUGAGCAGCAGCUUCCAGCUGAUCCCUUUAUCCCACUUGCUCCCCGUGGCCAGGGAAGGAGACAGGUGGGGCUGGCAUGGUCUGGAGGCAUGCCGGGGGGGUCUCUGCCAGUCGAUGGGUUUCAUCUCUGCUCACUUUCUUACUGUCACAGCCCUCCAGCCUUUGGAAGAUGAUGCCCAUGAGCGGAUCCGUCACCUGGCAGCUGGGACCAUCGAGAUCCUGAGACAUCAUAGGCAGCAGCCAGCAUCACAAAGGACUUGGCUCGCAGCACUGUGCUGCUGGCCCUGAAAAGCCAGGGGUCUGUCGAGCUCCCCUGCAAAAAAUGUGUCUUUAUAAAACUGUGUAGUGUGUUUACGUGGCAAGGUUUUGGUAUCAGUGGACCAUAGGGUUGGCUUCUGUGAGAAGAAUCUAGAUGCCCCAUGUUAGAUAAGGGCCCUGCUGCUGACCAGAGCCAAGCCAAUAAACGAUGUUGUUUGUGCCUCUGCA